AUCAGAUGGUGAGCUGUAUGAAACCUCACUCUGCUGAAGCUCCACUUCAUGACAAUCCUUGUACAUGUAACAGUCUCUGAAGUUUCACACACCCAAGGCCAUACCGAGGAGGAACUAACGAAGGAACGUGAUAAAAGGCUAUGCCGGAGGAAUCCCAAUACUUUGUUCUCUAAUGGAUGGGGUUUGUUCUUCAAGCUUCCUAUACUCCAGGCAGUUGUUUGGAAAACAUUGUACAAGUGGAAACCUGAAUAGUGGUGGGUGAGAGGACCAGAGGAUUAUGCAGCCGAACAAUCACAUCUCCCAACUCCUUCUGCACUUGCC
Molecule: long non-coding RNA, 321 nt
Organism: Pseudophryne corroboree (corroboree frog)
Lineage: Eukaryota; Metazoa; Chordata; Amphibia; Anura; Myobatrachidae
Exons: 3
Source: RefSeq, a predicted model, not a curated record